CAAUAUGAAGGUCAGGCUGAAGACCUUACCCGAUUAGCUGAGAGGUGGUGCAUGGCCGUCGUCAGUUCGUACUGUGAAGCAUCCUGUUAGGUCAGGCAACGAGCGAGACCCACGUCCACAGUUGCCAGCAUACCCUCCGGGGUGAUGGGUACACUGUGGAGACCGCCGCUGCUAAAGCGGAGGAAGGAGUGGGCAACGGUAGGUCAGUAUGCCCCGAAUCUCCCGGGCUACACGCGGGCUACAAUGGUUGGUACAAUGGGCAUCUACCCCGAAAGGGGAAGGAAAUCUCUUAAAGCCAAUCGUAGUUCGGAUUGAGGGCUGCAACUCGCCCUCAUGAAGCUGGAAUCCGUAGUAAUCGCGUUUCAACAGAACGCGGUGAAUACGUCCCUGCUCCUU
This 396-nucleotide ribosomal RNA is filed under the name uncultured Methanosaeta sp. RNAcentral describes it as "bacterial SSU rRNA". It matches the Rfam family "Archaeal small subunit ribosomal RNA", at positions 943 to 1338 of the family's 1478-position model. The record is from RNAcentral. Lineage: Archaea; Methanobacteriati; Methanobacteriota; Methanomicrobia; Methanotrichales; Methanotrichaceae.